Peromyscus leucopus (white-footed mouse) is the source of this 725-nucleotide long non-coding RNA. RefSeq lists it as uncharacterized. The transcript has 5 exons. The record is from RefSeq and is a predicted model, not a curated record. Lineage: Eukaryota; Metazoa; Chordata; Mammalia; Rodentia; Cricetidae.
CAGGAGGGGACAGCAGAGCCAGGAGGGAAAGCCUGUGGCCCCUGACUCCUCUCACCCCGUACCAGGAGAAGGAGCAGGGCCGGCCACCAAUGGACACAGCCACAUCACUGCCUGCAUUCAGAUGGCUUCCUUCGAUGCCAAUCCAGGUGCCUCCGGACAGAGGCCCGCGGGAGGGGCUCACACGGUAGAAGGGCUGCACGGCACCUUGCCCACGUGCACUCCCUGCCGCACAUCCUGGAACCGCAGGCCCAGAUUCUCGCCAGUGAUGGUGAGUCUCGUCCCUCCCUGCCGAGGGCCAGUCUCCGGGGACAGCUGCAGGAAGGCAGAGGCUGGGGCGGACACGGCAAGGUCUACCGUGGCAGCAGUCCAAGGAGAGACUGCCAGGUACUUGUGGAGUGGAGCCAGGGUCCCUGCCUAAGGCUCCCCAUUCCACCUUCACCCCAGGAUCAACCCGAAGGAGCCAAGAGAAGGGAUGUUCUAGGACUCAGGGCACUGCAUAGGCCUCUGGACGUGGCCUUAGGCCAACCCUGGCCAGGUCCCAAGGCCCCUGGUUUGGCCCACCCGGCUUCUACCCAUCCCACUACUGUAUCCCUGGCUCUCAGCCACUGUCACAGCCCCCAUCACCAUCAGGACAGUAUUCGCAGUGAGAAGAAUGGGUCCUGCUUCAAGUCCUGUCUCCACACCAACACGGACCCUAGGAUCCUGUCCCAGGCUCCCAUCCAUGC